This is a long non-coding RNA of Homo sapiens (human), 715 nucleotides long. Ensembl annotates it as lncRNA negative regulator of fibroblast-like synoviocyte migration, SYNCRIP interacting. Its record names the gene LERFS. The record is from Ensembl. NCBI's taxonomy places the organism in Eukaryota, Metazoa, Chordata, Mammalia, Primates, Hominidae.
AGGAAGCCAGCUGGAAAUACAACAAAACGCCUCUCCCGCUCCUUUAGCAAAACAUGUGUCAGAGCAACGCAAGAUUUGAUUGGGACUGCUUUACUUCGUUAACAAUUACAUCUGUUCGUGACAUUUGGUAUUCCUAAUAUGCCCACUUGGAGGAAAUUGCCAGCUUAGGCCAACCAGGGUGAAAUGCAUGCGCUUAUAAACUCAUAAGCCCAAUAAUAAUUUUCAGAAGGAGGCACUCAUUCACUUCGGCUUAUAAACUUGCAAAUCUGUAGAUUCAUUAGUCUAUCACUUACAUGGAAAGACAAAAUUUAUAUUUAAUUGUUGAGACUUGACUUCAAAAUUUUCAAGAAUAUCAACAUUUGUUUUUGUUGUGCACCUCUCUGUCAAAAGGCAGGAGUAGGGCUGAUUGGAGCCAUUGUACAGUGUCGGGAACAUACCAGGACACUGAGAAUAGUGUCAUGUCAUAAGGACCCAGAGCAGAUGGACCCUGCUGUGAUGCACAAAGGUGAGGGUGCAGCUGCCCAGGACACACUCAUGCAUGUUUGUGUGGACCAUGGAAGAUGGCAGGGGAAGAGCUGUCAGGUUGUUGGGGCAGAGGGUGCGCAUGAGUACUCGCCUAGGACCACGCAAGAUAUGAUAAAGAUCUACAUCACUGAAUUUUGGUUCCAUUUUUGUAUCUCAGCUUCCAGGAAAUAAAAAAGAAUUCUAACAUUCA